UCUGGCGUCUGACUGCACAGCGCAUCAGCCCGGCCAGCCGCGAGGAGACGGCUGUGCGUGACCUGCUGCUAGGGAAGGUGCUGGCGUUGGAGUGCCUGCUGGCCCGAAGACUGCACACCUUCCACAGACAAAUCUCACAGGAAGAUAAAAAUUGGGAGACCAAUAUCCAGGAGCUCCAAAAAAAGCACAGGAUAUCAGACAGGAUUCUGCUCGCCAAAUGCCUGACGGUGUUGGGAUUUGUUAUCUUCACGUUCUUUCUCAAUUCAUUUG
Galeopterus variegatus (Sunda flying lemur) is the source of this 270-nucleotide long non-coding RNA. RefSeq lists it as uncharacterized. The record is from RefSeq and is a predicted model, not a curated record. NCBI's taxonomy places the organism in Eukaryota, Metazoa, Chordata, Mammalia, Dermoptera, Cynocephalidae. The transcript is spliced from 3 exons.